RNAcentral lists this ribosomal RNA (440 nucleotides) under uncultured Hyphomicrobiales bacterium. RNAcentral describes it as "bacterial SSU rRNA". It matches the Rfam family "Bacterial small subunit ribosomal RNA", at positions 338 to 795 of the family's 1533-position model. Lineage: Bacteria; Pseudomonadati; Pseudomonadota; Alphaproteobacteria; Hyphomicrobiales. The record is from RNAcentral.
CCUACGGGUGGCUGCAGUGGGGAAUCUUGGACAAUGGGCGCAAGCCUGAUCCAGCCAUGCCGCGUGAGUGAAGAAGGCCUUCGGGUUGUAAAGCUCUUUUGUCAGGGACGAUAAUGACGGUACCUGAAGAAUAAGCCCCGGCAAACUUCGUGCCAGCAGCCGCGGUAAUACGAAGGGGGCUAGCGUUGUUCGGAAUUACUGGGCGUAAAGCGCACGUAGGCUGACAUUUAAGUCAGGGGUGAAAUCCCGAGGCUCAACCUCGGAACUGCCCUUGAUACUGGGUGUCUCGAGUCCGGAAGAGGUUAGUGGAAUUCCCAGUGUAGAGGUGAAAUUCGUAGAUAUUGGGAAGAACACCAGUGGCGAAGGCGGCUAACUGGUCCGGUACUGACGCUGAGGUGCGAAAGCGUGGGGAGCAAACAGGAUUAGAUACCCCGGUAGUC